RNAcentral lists this unclassified non-coding RNA (442 nucleotides) under Hevea brasiliensis (rubber tree). The record is from RNAcentral. Lineage: Eukaryota; Viridiplantae; Streptophyta; Magnoliopsida; Malpighiales; Euphorbiaceae.
GCUGUUUUCUCUUCGUCUAUGGAUCUUAAAUACGCAGAUUUGUUUGUUGUUGCUGUUUCAGAUGAUGCCCGUUUUUCUUCUUUCUUUCCGUUUGUAGUAGUAGUAGUAGCUGCUGCAGCUGCUGCUGGCUUCUCCACAUUUUUCACUUUGGUCGCAGAGGAUUUCCCUGCUGCAUUUGUUAUGACACCAGGUAUCGUAGUUUUCUCAGAAGGCAGAUUAGGAAGAGACCUGCGUUUCGGCUUGUCUGAACGGGCAGGAGAGACCCUCUUAGAAUUGUUAUUCAGAGCCACAUUCUCAUCGAGACUUAAGCGAGCCGAUCGCACAUCACCGCCAUCAUUGCUUGAAGAGUCUGCUGCUGCUGGGGUUGAACUCUUCUUUCGGCCAAGCUUGGGAGACUUGGCUCUUGUGGGUGGUAUCUUUUUCAAUUCUACUUUGGGAGGAG